GCUGUUGCUAUGGUAACUGGGAUGUGCUAGGAAUCCUUGCUGCAUUUCCAGUGGAGGCUGAGACAAUACGGAAGCCCUCUGGAGAAGAAAAUUCUGUUUA
This is a non-coding RNA of Vicugna pacos (alpaca), 100 nucleotides long. Lineage: Eukaryota; Metazoa; Chordata; Mammalia; Artiodactyla; Camelidae. The record is from RefSeq and is a predicted model, not a curated record.